Molecule: ribosomal RNA, 410 nt
Filed under: uncultured bacterium
Lineage: Bacteria
Description: bacterial SSU rRNA
Rfam family: Bacterial small subunit ribosomal RNA
Source: RNAcentral
AAUGGGCGCAAGCCUGAUCCAGCAAUGCCGCGUGUGUGAAGAAGGCCUGCGGGUUGUAAAGCACUUUCAGUGGGGAAGAACGGAUGCGGGCCAAUACCCCGGAUCACUGACGUUACCCACAGAAGAAGCACCGGCUAACUCCGUGCCAGCAGCCGCGGUAAUACGGAGGGUGCAAGCGUUAAUCGGAAUCACUGGGCGUAAAGCGCACGUAGGCGGCCCGUUAAGUCAGAUGUGAAACCCCUGGGCUCAACCUGGGAAUGGCAUUUGAUACUAGCGGGCUCGAGUCUGAUAGAGGGGGGUGGAAUUCCAGGUGUAGCGGUGAAAUGCGUAGAUAUCUGGAGGAACACCGGUGGCGAAGGCGGCCCCCUGGAUCAUGACUGACGCUGAGGUGCGAAAGCGUGGGUAGCAAA